Molecule: long non-coding RNA, 412 nt
Filed under: Sorghum bicolor (sorghum)
Lineage: Eukaryota; Viridiplantae; Streptophyta; Magnoliopsida; Poales; Poaceae
Description: long non-coding RNA (SBIC_LNC002320)
Source: RNAcentral
GGGAUAACAUACCCCCUAAUCAGAAAAUAAGGACUUGGUUGUCUUUCUUUUCUCUUUUCUUUCUUUUUUAGAGAUCAGCCAACCUUUUUAAUGCAUUGAUAACAGUAGGGAGUAUCAACUAAAAUAACUGGAGGCUUAUUGGAUAGUAGAAUAAGAUACAAUGAAUAUUUUUGGGUGUCUUCUCUGAGUGUAGGAGUAGAAUAUUUUCUAAGUGCAUAUGGAAUGUGUAUGAGUGCAUGAAUGUGUACUCCCGGGGUAGGAGCAACAUAAGUGUGUGUCUCCAAGGUAGAAACAGCACAGAGUGUAAUGCGUAUAUGUGGGUGAUACUUCUAAGAACAGAAGUAGCACAUGAAGAAUGUGUGGAAGUGGUUGCAUACUUCUAAGGACAGAAGUAGCUAAGAUCAAUGGAUGG